AUGAACGCUAGCGACAGGCCUAACACAUGCGAGUCGAGGGGCAGCACAAGGAGCAAUCUGAGGUGGCGACCGGCGCACGGGUGAGUAACACGUAUGCAACCUGCCUGUAAGCGGGGAAUAACCCGUUGAAAGACGGACUAAUACCGCAUAAUACUAAAUUACUGCAUGGUAAUUUAUUUAAACAUUUAUGGCUUACAGAUGGGCAUGCGCAUGAUUAGCUAGUUGGAGAGGUAACGGCUCCCCAAGGCAACGAUCAUUAGGGGUUCUGAGAGGAAGGUCCCCCACACUGGUACUGAGACACGGACCAGACUCCUACGGGAGGCAGCAGUGAGGAAUAUUGGUCAAUGGACGAGAGUCUGAACCAGCCAAGUCGCGUGCAGGAAGAAUGUCCUAAUGGAUUGUAAACUGCUUUUGCAGGGGAAUAAAGUGCAUCACGUGUGAUGUUUUGUAUGUACUCUGCGAAUAAGGAUCGGCUAACUCCGUGCCAGCAGCCGC
This 495-nucleotide ribosomal RNA is filed under the name uncultured bacterium. RNAcentral describes it as "bacterial SSU rRNA". It matches the Rfam family "Bacterial small subunit ribosomal RNA", at positions 29 to 518 of the family's 1533-position model. The record is from RNAcentral.